GAUGAACGCUGGCGGCGUGCCUAAUACAUGCAAGUCGAGCGAACGGACGAGAAGCUUGCUUCUCUGAUGUUAGCGGCGGACGGGUGAGUAACACGUGGAUAACCUACCUAUAAGACUGGGAUCACUUCGGGAAACCGUAGCUAAUACCGGAUAAUAUUUUGAACCGCAUGGUUCAAAAGUGAAAGACGGUCUUGCUGUCACUUAUAGAUGGAUCCGCGCUGCAUUAGCUAGUUGGUAAGGUAACGGCUUACCAAGGCAACGAUGCAUAGCCGACCUGAGAGGGUGAUCGGCCACACUGGAACUGAGACACGGUCCAGACUCCUACGGGAGGCAGCAGUAGGGAAUCUGCCGCAAUGGGCGAAAGCCUGACGGAGCAACGCCGCGUGAGUGAUGAAGGUCUUCGGAUCGUAAAACUCUGUUAUUAGGGAAGAACAUAUGUGUAAGUAACUGUGCACAUCGUGACGGUACCUAAUCAGAAAGCCACGGCUAACUACGUG
Molecule: ribosomal RNA, 497 nt
Filed under: uncultured bacterium
Lineage: Bacteria
Description: partial 16S ribosomal RNA
Rfam family: Bacterial small subunit ribosomal RNA
Source: RNAcentral